RNAcentral lists this long non-coding RNA (398 nucleotides) under Homo sapiens (human). RNAcentral's name for it is "HSALNT0205016". Lineage: Eukaryota; Metazoa; Chordata; Mammalia; Primates; Hominidae. The record is from RNAcentral.
CUCUGUAUGCAGCUUGCAGGUCUGGAUUCUGCUUCAUUCGCUACUGAAAUCUUUUAAAAAGUCAAUAUCUUAAACUAAUUUGUGUUUACUGAUAUGGAAUUUUGAUCUCAUUUGUCAUAUUGUGAUAUGCCAUAUUUUUAUGUAGAUAUACAUUCUUUAAUAUAGACAUUUACAAGAAGCAGAUGCCAGUGUCCUGCUUCUUGAACUUUCUAGCCAACAGAAUAGUGAGCCUAACAAACCUCUUUUCUUUCUAAAUUACCCAGCCUCGAGUCUUCUCUUACAGCAACACUAAAUGGGGUGGCUCUGAUCUUGAUCUGACAGCAAGAAAUGUUGCCAGUGCUCCAAAUGGGAUCUCGUCAUCAAGGAUAUCUGGACUUUCAAUGUGUGGUUAAUAAAAC